This 497-nucleotide ribosomal RNA is filed under the name uncultured bacterium. Its description in RNAcentral is "partial 16S ribosomal RNA". It matches the Rfam family "Bacterial small subunit ribosomal RNA", at positions 28 to 507 of the family's 1533-position model. The record is from RNAcentral.
GACGAACGCUGGCGGCGUGCCUAAUACAUGCAAGUCGAACGAGAGCGACCGGUGCUUGCACUGGUCAAUCUAGUGGCGAACGGGUGAGUAACACGUGGGUAACCUGCCCAUCAGAGGGGGAUAACAUCCGGAAACGGAUGCUAAAACCGCAUAGGUCUUCGAACCGCAUGGUUUGAAGAGGAAAAGAGGCGCAAGCUUCUGCUGAUGGAUGGACCCGCGGUGCAUUAGCUAGUUGGUGAGGUAACGGCUCACCAAGGCCGUGAUGCAUAGCCGACCUGAGAGGGUGAUCGGCCACAUUGGGACUGAGACACGGCCCAAACUCCUACGGGAGGCAGCAGUAGGGAAUCUUCCGCAAUGGACGCAAGUCUGACGGAGCAACGCCGCGUGAGUGAAGAAGGUUUUCGGAUCGUAAACUCUGUUGUUAGAGAAGAACAAGUGCUAGAGUAACUGUUAGCGCCUUGACGGUAUCUAACCAGAAAGCCACGGCUAACUACGUG